RNAcentral lists this ribosomal RNA (448 nucleotides) under uncultured bacterium. RNAcentral describes it as "bacterial SSU rRNA". It matches the Rfam family "Bacterial small subunit ribosomal RNA", at positions 329 to 792 of the family's 1533-position model. The record is from RNAcentral.
UGCCAGACUCCUACGGGAGGCAGCAGUGGGGAAUAUUGGGCAAUGGACGCAAGUCUGACCCAGCAACGCCGCGUGAAGGAAGAAGGCUUUCGGGUUGUAAACUUCUUUUAAGGGGGAAGAGGAGAAGACGGUACCCCUUGAAUAAGCCACGGCUAACUACGUGCCAGCAGCCGCGGUAAUACGUAGGUGGCAAGCGUUGUCCGGAUUUACUGGGUGUAAAGGGCGUGCAGCCGGGCUGACAAGUCAGAUGUGAAAUCCGUGGGCUUAACCCGCGAACUGCAUUUGAAACUAUUGGUCUUGAGUGCCGGAGAGGUAAUCGGAAUUCCUUGUGUAGCGGUGAAAUGCGUAGAUAUUAGGAGGAACACCAGUGGCGAAGGCGGCUUACUGGACAGUAACUGACGUUGAGGCUCGAAAGCGUGGGGAGCAAACAGGAUUAGAUACCCCCGUA